Molecule: ribosomal RNA, 162 nt
Filed under: Triticum aestivum (bread wheat)
Lineage: Eukaryota; Viridiplantae; Streptophyta; Magnoliopsida; Poales; Poaceae
Description: partial small subunit ribosomal RNA
Source: RNAcentral
AACACAACUUUAGUCGCCAUCUCCAUAUCUGGUUUACUUGUAAGCUUUACUGGGUAUGCCUUAUAUACCGCGUUUGGGCAACCCUCUCAACAAUUAAGAGAUCCAUUCGGCUUUACGUCCGCUAUCCUGAUCAUGAUUUUCCUACCCUCAGGGGGAAAGUAA